This 1513-nucleotide non-coding RNA is filed under the name Pongo abelii (Sumatran orangutan). The record is from RNAcentral. Lineage: Eukaryota; Metazoa; Chordata; Mammalia; Primates; Hominidae.
GUCCAAAGCAGAAGGCCGUGCGUCAGGGCGGCCCUCAGCGGAGAUGCCUGCACGGAGCGGGGAGCGCCGCUCGGGGAAGGGAAUGAAAGCGGCGCUUGAGACUGGAAAUUUAGGGAGAUGAGUUCCUUGGGAACAACGCCGAACCGUCUCACUGCCCCACCCUACCCCUUGUUAUUUUUUUUUGAGACACGUCUCGCGCUGUCGUCCAGUGCGAGUGCAGUGACGCGAUCACGGCUCACUGCAGCCUCGACCUCCGGGGCUCACUGGUUCUCCCACCUCUGCCCUCUGAGUAGCUGGGACCACGGGCAUGCACCACCACACCUGGCUAAUUUUUUAAAAAAUUUUUCCGUAGAUAGGGUCUCGCUGUGUUACCCAGGCUGGUCUCGAAUCCCUGGCCUGAAGCGAUCCUCCCGCCUCGGCCUUCCGAAGUGCUGGGAUUACAGGCGUGAGCCACUGCGCUCGGUUUUUCACCCCUUUCUAAAGUUUUCCAUAUCCAGCGGUGCCCUGCCCACCCUCUCUUAAUCUCUGACUUUUCCCUCCUCUGUUUCUUCCUCGCUGAAGUCCAUUGGUGAAGGAAAAUUCAUGUGAAAGUUCUGGAUGUGAAUAAAGGCCUCAGAGUUGUCCUUGUCUACUCCACUACCAAAUGUUGAAGUUCUUCAAGAAUCAGUCCUUUGGAGGCAUUUAAGGAAAUCUGUUUCUCUGUUGAAUCACUAGCUGCGAAUUAAGCUAACAGAACAGAAGCCCAACUGGUCACACACAGCAACGAAUACAGACUUUAUAAACUUCAGAAAAGUUACCAAACAGUGGUAACCAUAACAAGUACCAACAAUGAACUAUGGGGAGAGAGGAGAAUCUGAUUUCCAGAGUUACCACAUUAUAAUACUAUUCAAAAUGUCACAUUUUUAUGAAAGAUUACAAACAAGGAAAAACCAGAAAAGUGUGGCCCAUACACAGGUAAAAAAAGAAAUUAAUAGAAACUAUCCCUGAAGAAGCACAGACUUUGGAUGUACAAAACAAAGACUCUUCAUCAACUCUUUUAGAUAUGCUAGAAGAGCUGAAGGAAACCAUGGACAGAGAACAAAAAAAUUAGGAAAGCAAUGUCUCAUCAAAUACAGAAUAUCAAUAAAGAGAUUGAAAUUGUAGAAAAGAACCAAAUAGAAAUUCUGGAGUUGAAAAGUAUUAUAACUAAAACUGAAAAUUCACUAGAGGUAUUCAGCAGCAGACUGGAGAAGUCAGAAGAAAGAAUCAACAGGCUUCAAGAUAGGUCAAUUAAGAUUAUGCAGUCUGAGGAGCAGAAAGCAAAAAGAAUGAAGAAAAAUGAACAGAACAUAAAAGACCUCUGGGACUCUAUCAAGCAUACCAGUAUAUGCAUAAGGGGAGUCCCAGAAGAAGAAAGAGAGAAAGGGACAUAAUAUUUGAAGAAAUAAUGGUAGAAAAUGUCCCAGCUUUGGUGAAAUACAUGAAUCUAGAUAUUCAAGAGGCUCAAAGAACCCUAAAUAGGGUAAACUCAAAA